RNAcentral lists this non-coding RNA (30 nucleotides) under Mus musculus (house mouse). The record is from RNAcentral. Lineage: Eukaryota; Metazoa; Chordata; Mammalia; Rodentia; Muridae.
UGAAAGGUGUGACCCUGUUGUGAGGAGCCC